CUGAAAUCUGUUCCCAAAGAAUGUGGGUUGUUUUACAAAGUGGCCUAUGUGGAUUUUGUCUGUAGAGAAGAUGGAGUUGGUGGAAUAUAACUUCUCAGGAAAUCUUGAUGGUAUUCGCACAAGAGUGUGAGCGACUGUACCUGUAUCUCUGUAGGCUCUCAUUUUGGCUAAAGGAAAAAGCAACGUUGAGAAACAGAAGAGUGACAAAUCUCCUCCCUCCCUCAAAUUCCGUCACCCCUUGGAUUACGCACAGUUGUGCUUUUCACACCUCUCAGAGUCACCUGCACAGCUUGUUUCAUAAAGCACACGCCGUUUGAUUAAAUGCCAUCGCUGGGAAGGGAGAGCAUAUUUGUUCAGCUGAUCUGGAUGAGCCAAACUAAAUCUCUAAUAGUCUGCAGUAACGAGGUCUUCCUCAGUUCCUCAUAGAGGGAACAGAACCGGCUCCAGAGAGUGAUUCAUCACAGCCCCAGACAGAUGUCAAAAACAAGCAUAAAUGAUGGCACACACAUGUUGGAAUUGGGGCACGUGAAUUUGUCCACGCUCCACAAGCGAUGCUGAAAUAAGCCAGUUGACAUCUGUAAAAGAUUGAGUUUAAAUCGAUUCACUUCUAUCACAAUGCUUUUCUCUUUUUUAAAUGUAGACGAGCAUUUGUGUGCCUAACUGUCCCUGAACUCAAAUGGCCAGAGGGAUUGUGUUCAAAUUAUCCAUUAAAAACAAUCUCCUUGCAGAGACCAAGCAUGAAAAAUUCAGUCCAAAAGAUGAAAGGUUCGGAAAAUGUUAGGAGUUCAUGGCAAGAGAGGAUUUAUAAGGGUUUGCAGCCUACACUAUAGUUGCCAUAAGCAAUAUAUACCCUAGCACAUAUAGGGCCAAAGCUUCUACCGACUUUAAAGGAAAAUGGAUUAAAGCUUUGAGCGGAAAGCCUCGUGACUAAUCAUCCAUGUGAGUAACCCACACCAUCACAGGAUCCUUCAAGUUGCUGUGUGCGUUCAGAAGGAGCUGCUGCUGGAAACUCUUUGGAUUAAUUCCUCAGCUCAGGUGGCAGAAAUGGGAAGUUUGAAUGCGAAAGGCCUGAUAUCCAAUCCCUACUGGAAAUCCAGGUGGAGCAGAGGUGCCCAUCUCUGACUGUGGGAUGGGAAGCGUUAUGGAAGAUGCUGACUGUGAUUUUAAGCUGUAUCCAUAUUGUAUUCCUUCUGGACAGCAUGCACAGGGACAGAGACCUGCUUUCAGAAAGCCCUCCCACCACAAAAGAAAAAGAGGUUAUAACAAUUAAUAAAUGUUAUUUAUAAAGCACUUCCCACUCCAAGAGCCUUUUGGGAGCAGCAUGAACCAUUAAAAUGAAAUCCAAUUAUAAAACCCAAUCACAAUUAAAU
This is a long non-coding RNA of Gallus gallus (chicken), 1370 nucleotides long. NCBI's taxonomy places the organism in Eukaryota, Metazoa, Chordata, Aves, Galliformes, Phasianidae. The record is from Ensembl.